CCUGCCCAUAAGACUGGGAUAACUCCGGGAAACCGGGGCUAAUACCGGAUAACAUUUUGAACYGCAUGGUUCRAAAUUGAAAGGCGGCUUCGGCUGUCACUUAUGGAUGGACCCGCGUCGCAUUAGCUAGUUGGUGAGGUAACGGCUCACCAAGGCAACGAUGCGUAGCCGACCUGAGAGGGUGAUCGGCCACACUGGGACUGAGACACGGCCCAGACUCCUACGGGAGGCAGCAGUAGGGAAUCUUCCGCAAUGGACGAAAGUCUGACGGAGCAACGCCGCGUGAGUGAUGAAGGCUUUCGGGUCGUAAAACUCUGUU
RNAcentral lists this ribosomal RNA (319 nucleotides) under Bacillus sp. H11(2016). RNAcentral describes it as "bacterial SSU rRNA". It matches the Rfam family "Bacterial small subunit ribosomal RNA", at positions 125 to 437 of the family's 1533-position model. Lineage: Bacteria; Bacillati; Bacillota; Bacilli; Caryophanales; Bacillaceae. The record is from RNAcentral.